GACGAACGCUGGCGGCGUGCUUAACACAUGCCAGUCGAACGGUGAAGCGCCUUCCUUUUUGGUGGGUGUGGAUGAGUGGCGAACGGGUGAGUAACACGUGAGUAACCUGCCCCCUUCUUCUGGAUAACCGCAUGAAAGUGUGGCUAAUACGGGAUAUUCUGGGUCUGUCGCAUGAUGGGUCUGGGAAAGAUAUUGUUUCGGUGGGGGAUGGGCUCGCGGCCUAUCAGCUUGUUGGUGGGGUGAUGGCCUACCAAGGCGGUGACGGGUAGCCGGCCUGAGAGGGUGGACGGUCACACUGGGACUGAGACACGGCCCAGACUCCUACGGCAGGCAGCAGUGGGGAAUAUUGCACAAUGGGCGCAAGCCUGAUGCAGCGACGCCGCGUGAGGGAUGGAGGCCUUCGGGUUGUGAACCUCUUUCGCCAGUGAAGCAGGCCUGCCUCGUUUGUGGGUGGGUUGACGGUAGCUGGAUAAGAAGCGCCGGCUAACUACGUG
This 494-nucleotide ribosomal RNA is filed under the name uncultured bacterium. RNAcentral describes it as "partial 16S ribosomal RNA". It matches the Rfam family "Bacterial small subunit ribosomal RNA", at positions 28 to 507 of the family's 1533-position model. The record is from RNAcentral.